Long non-coding RNA from Rosa chinensis, 473 nucleotides. RefSeq lists it as uncharacterized. The transcript is spliced from 2 exons. NCBI's taxonomy places the organism in Eukaryota, Viridiplantae, Streptophyta, Magnoliopsida, Rosales, Rosaceae. The record is from RefSeq and is a predicted model, not a curated record.
AAAAAGAACUCGUAUUGUUUUUCUCUAUGUGUAGUAUCAACCCCAAAUUGAUGUGCUGCAUUGCUCUUUCUUUGAGCUUCCAUGGAAACUCGUCCAUGAUUCAAUUUAUUCAAACACGUAAUUUCAGAUUAUGGGGAAUCAUCAGACUCAAAGAUCGUUGCAGAACUCCGAUAUUGGCGGUAUGGUCUUGGAUUGACAAACUGAAAUUUUUGUAUUGAAAUUAAAUUUGGUGCGAGCAUGGAGCUAUAGUAUGGUCUUGACCAAUCUAUAGGGGAAACUAUAAUGCAAGCUGCACGAGAAAAGGGGUAUGGUCUUGACUCUUGACCAACUCGUUAGUGUGAUGAGCCGUGGUCAUGAUCCUUGUUAUCUGUAAAUAAAUCAAAUCAUGAUUGUUAGUAUCUGUACAAGAAAACUGGGUAUUUGAAAAUCCGUUGCUUCUUAAUGUGAUUGAAAUCAACACUUGGUUAUUCUUA